This 320-nucleotide ribosomal RNA is filed under the name uncultured Bacteroidales bacterium. RNAcentral describes it as "bacterial SSU rRNA". It matches the Rfam family "Bacterial small subunit ribosomal RNA", at positions 28 to 339 of the family's 1533-position model. Lineage: Bacteria; Pseudomonadati; Bacteroidota; Bacteroidia; Bacteroidales. The record is from RNAcentral.
GAUGAACGCUAGCUACAGGCUUAACACAUGCAAGUCGAGGGGCAGCAUGAGAUUAGCUUGCUAAUCUUGAUGGCGACCGGCGCACGGGUGAGUAACGCGUAUCCAACCUUCCCCCUACUCAGGCAUAGCCCGGUGAAAGUCGGAUUAAUUCCCUAUGUUCUCCAAUGCAGACAUCUAAGUUGGAGCAAAGAUUCAUCGCUAUGGGAUGGGGAUGCGUCUGAUUAGGUUGCAGGCGGGGUAACGGCCCACCUGGCCAACGAUCAGUAGGGGUUCUGAGAGGAAGGUCCCCCACAUUGGAACUGAGACACGGUCCAAACUCC